Tympanuchus pallidicinctus (lesser prairie-chicken) is the source of this 2317-nucleotide long non-coding RNA. RefSeq lists it as uncharacterized. The transcript has 6 exons. The record is from RefSeq and is a predicted model, not a curated record. NCBI's taxonomy places the organism in Eukaryota, Metazoa, Chordata, Aves, Galliformes, Phasianidae.
CUGAUGUACUUUGAAGUUAGCAGUUCAUCAAGUGUACCAUUCUGGUGCUGGAACAAUUCAUAAAAGAUUUAUAUUCUCCAGAAGCAUUUAUCAUGUAAUGACAAGAACAAUGAAAUGCCCCCUUUUUAAGAAUGUCAUAAAAGAUGAGUUUUCUCUUCAGUACCCAACUACAAUGAAGCUUUAUGAUACAGAUGUUGCAACAUCAAAUAAGGAAUUGCCAAGUGGACAACUGUGUCUUGAUUUGUAUAAAGGACCUUCUACCCACAAAUUCAGUUUGCUGGGAUAGGAAUUUGAAGGUUUUAGCUGGACUUUACAAUUCAUGCUAAGCUCUUGUUUCAGUCAUGCUGCUCAUCUUAAUAAACCCAGUAGCCAGUUAACUAUAUAACCUAGAAAGUUUUUACUGGGGGGGAGAGUUCCUUGUAGGAUUUAAAAAUAUAUAUAUUAGCCACAGCAGUUUAGGGGGAAUUUUACUGAAACUGUUGUACCUUUAUAGUCUCAGGGAGGGGCAGGGAUGUUGGUAGCCUCUCCUCCCAAAUGCAAGCAACCUUACUGAGGUCAGCAGAGCUCAUUGUUUCGUUGCUCAGACAUACAUACUACUUGAAAAAAAAAAUCUUCAUUUCAAUGCAUUUAUUCAAGUACUUGGAGUUGUGCACUCCCUUAGAAGCCUUCCUGAAUGAAAAUUUUGAGAUGACAUUCUUUUGGUUGCCUCUGUCAUUUUCUACUUGGCAGUCCUCUUCCUCACAAAAAUGAUUGGGUUUGCUCUCCAUCAUCUUGGUGAGUAGUUAUAAACAUAUCCACAAGUCUUUGGAUGCCAAUACAAAUGCCAAAAGUGGCAAAAUAAUGGUACUCCAUACUUCUUUAGAUGGCAUUUUCACUUUUAUUGACAAAAUCUUGCUCUUUUCAUCAGCCACACUUGUCCAUUUUGAUUUAUUUUUAUAUGCACAGCUUUUAGCAUCAUAAUGAAAUAUUAUUUACAAAGUUAGAUCCAACUGAACGUAGGUGGAAGUAUCUAGAAAGCAGGAGCACUAUUCAAAGCACUGACUUUAAAAUAUUUAUUAUUUGUGAAACAUAUUCAUUAUUCUUGGCUUGUCUCUGUUCACUGCUGUUAUUUAUCUUAACACAGCCCUCACUUCAGUGUGAACUCAGUCUGCCCUAUAGAAAAAAAAUCUAAAUGCUUUAAAUCACAAUCUCACACUAACAGUAAAAGAUAAUAUCUCCACUUUGUUUCGCCUGCAAAAACGUCUGGGCCAAGAGAACUGCCAAAACUCAUAAAACUCUUACGUUACCUAUUGAUUUAUUGGCAUGAAUCUAUCAUAUCUUUAUAUGAUGUUUACUGGUGUUGACUCCAGUUCAUGCCAACAUUAACUUCCUUUAAUUUUAACUCUCUGUGUGUACUUGGAUAUCUUUUGGUAGUGGAGAUUUUUUUUUAGUUUGGUAUGUUGAUGUUUUUUUGCUGUUGUUUUGUUUUUUGUUUUUUAAAGGAAAUACAAGUCUGUCUUCAAAUUUGGUGUACAGAGAAAUGGAAGAUCUGCUCAGGUUGAUAAGAAUCAUGGAAUCACAGAAACACCAAGAUGGAAAGCUAUUUUCAGAAGUGCUCAACAUUGGCUUAUAUUCUGUGGAAGUCAGCAGUAGAACUCCUACUGACUUUUACUUGGGAGUGGAACUAUGUCAACACUGAAUGGUUUUGAAAAGCACAGCAUGUCAUUUUGACUAAUGCUGCCCAGAUUCUGAAGAAUGAGGCUGUGGUUCCAUGACAAUUGAAGCCUACAUAGAUUGGGAUGACUGCAAAACCAAAUCUUAUCCCUGAAAAAGAUACAUAUUUCCACCAAAUCAGCUUUUGAGAGGACUCAUUAUAUUUUCACAGCCUUCAGAAGAGCUGCUCUAUUUUUUCUCCAGGGACAGCUGAGGAAAGUCUAAGUUAUGUGGUGAAGCUUCCUAUACAAGCAAGGUCAUCUCUUGAUUUUGUAGACCUUGCAAAUGACUUUCAAAGGGGUCUUUCGUUAUGGCCUUGAACUUAUAAAGAGCUUCCUUCUGAUUGCCUCCAUUGUUUCUGGGAAGAAUUGUUUUUGAAUGACCUCCAUCAGCUCCAGCAGGAUGUUGCUGAUUUGCAACCACUGUGCUGCCUUUCUUCUGGCUGGGUUUAGAAGCCAACUGGUUGGGAACAUUUGCAUAGUAAAUCCUUCCCUAACCCCUUAAAGCCAUACAAUCAUUAUCCUAACAAGCAGAUAACAAUAUUCAAUUAUUACAGCUAAACCUGCCAUUGUUGUUAUUUAACCAAUUUUAAUUUACAAGUUGUGUUGUGUCAUGGGUCUAUUUC